UCACCAUAGGACCUUCCUCCUGAUGUCUGAUAAUGCUUGUACUUCUCAGUCCUCCAGCAGUACACCUACUCACUCGCAGCUUCUUGCAUGCCGCUUGCUCCCAGCUCCUCACAAGCACUUCCUCU
Non-coding RNA from Chelonoidis abingdonii (Abingdon island giant tortoise), 125 nucleotides. NCBI's taxonomy places the organism in Eukaryota, Metazoa, Chordata, Testudines, Testudinidae. The record is from RefSeq and is a predicted model, not a curated record.